This 665-nucleotide long non-coding RNA is filed under the name Manihot esculenta (cassava). RNAcentral describes it as "long non-coding RNA (MESC_LNC006139)". Lineage: Eukaryota; Viridiplantae; Streptophyta; Magnoliopsida; Malpighiales; Euphorbiaceae. The record is from RNAcentral.
UUUCGGCCGCCGAACCUGCCGCAGAAAGUGCCCUGUUCAGCCAUUUCUUGCAUGUUUUCAUGUGAUGUUUUCAGGAUGUUUUAGGGGGUUUUUGGGGAGUAUUUUAGAGUCAUAUUCAGGUAUGUUUGGUCCAGAGGUGAGUGGAAUAAACUUUAAGUUUUAAAGCAAAUUAAUGAAAUGUUUUAGCAUGAUUCACGCAUCAUGAAUGCCAUGAGAUAUAUUAGGUUGUUUGCAUUAGAAUUCACGAAUAUGUUGCAUUGCAUACUUUGUUGUUGAUGUGGAUGAAUGUUGAAUGAUCCAUUAGCCCUUGUAUGUCAUGAUGGCCUAUGUGAGUCCAGGUGUGCCUGCUACGGCUCUACGCCCCUGGCACUAUGACAGAUUAUGGAAGUCCGGGUGUGCCUGCUACGGCUCUACGCCCCCGGCAUGUAUAAGUAAGAAAGAUAGGGGCUAAAUGGUGACAAGUUCAUCCUUGUUGUGAAAUGUUUGUGUUAUGGCGCAUACAUGAAAGCAUGAUUUAAAUUGAUGUUUUAUUAUUCUGCUCACUGGGCUCUAGUAGCUCACCCCACUCCCUUUAUCCCCAGAGUUGCAGGUACAGGAUAGAUCAGGAGGUCGGCUAGAGUGAAGUUCAGUCAUGUAUGUUGUAAUAGAUAGUAGUGGACAUGAAC